Molecule: ribosomal RNA, 1941 nt
Filed under: human gut metagenome
Description: bacterial LSU rRNA
Rfam family: Bacterial large subunit ribosomal RNA
Source: RNAcentral
ACUGUGAAGGAAAGGUGAAAAGAACCCCUGGCGGGGAGUGAAAAGAACCUGAAACCGUGUGCUUACAAACAGUUAGAGCCCAUCAAUGGGUGAUAGCGUGCCUUUUGUAGAAUGAGCCGGCGAGUUACGUUAAUUUGCAAGGUUAAGCUUUUAGGAGUGGAGCCGUAGCGAAAGCAAGUCUUAAUAGGGCGAAUAAGUAGAUUGACGUAUACCCGAAACCGGGUGAUCUAGCCAUGAGCAGGUUGAAGCUUGGGUAAAACCAGGUGGAGGACCGAACCAGGGUCUGUUGAAAAAGACUUGGAUGACUUGUGGCUAGGGGUGAAAUUCCAAUCGAACCCGGAGAUAGCUGGUUCUCCCCGAAAUAGCUUUAGGGCUAGCGUUGUGAGAAGAGUUAUACGAAGGUAGAGCACUGAAUGGGUGAGGGCCGCACCUCGCGGUACCAAUCUCAAUCAAACUCCGAAUGUCGUAUAAUAUGCGCAGCAGUAAGACUAUGGGUGAUAAGGUCCAUGGUCAAAAGGGAAACAGCCCAGACCGCCAGUUAAGGUCCCAAAAUUAUGCUAAGUGGGAAAGGAGGUGGAGUCGCUUAAACAACUAGGAGGUUGGCUCAGAAGCAGCCAUCCUUUAAAGAGUGCGUAAUAGCUCACUAGUCGAGUGAUUCUGCGCCGAAAAUGUAUCGGGGCUAAGCAUAAUACCGAAGCUGCGGGAUUAGAUGAAGAAUCUAAUCGGUAGGGGAGCGUACUAAGUGCGUAGAAGGUUGACCGGAAGGGCAGCUGGAGCGCUUAGCAGUGAGUAUGCCGGUGUGAGUAGCGAUAAGAUGGGUGAGAAUCCCAUCCGUCGAAAGCCUAAGGUUUCCAGGGGUAAGGCUCGUCCUCCCUGGGUAAGUCGGGUCCUAAGGUGAGGCUGAGAAGCGUAGCUGAUGGACAUCAGGUUGAUAUUCCUGAACCACCAUAAAACUGAAGGAAUGACGGAGGAGGCUAAUCAGAGCUGAUUAAUGGAUUUCAGUUUAAGUACAAAGAGGGUUACGUAGGCAAAUCCGCGUAGCAAAACCUUGAAGUAUGACGACGUAAGUCUGGUGAAGCCACACUUCCAAGAAAAGUUUCUAGGUGUAUUUUAUGGUGCCCGUACCGUAAACGGACACACGUAGGCGAGGAGAGAAUCCAAAGACGCGCGAGAUAAUUCUUGUUAAGGAACUCUGCAAAAUUACUCUGUAACUUCGGAAUAAAGAGGGCUCCCGUGAGGGAGACGCAGAAAAUAGGCCCAAGCGACUGUUUAACAAAAACAUAGGUUUCUGCUAAAGCGUAAGCUGAUGUAUAGGAGCUGACGCCUGCCCAGUGCUGGAAGGUUAAGAGGAGAAGUUAGUCGCAAGGCGAAGCUUUGAAUUGAAGCCCCAGUAAACGGCGGCCGUAACUAUAACGGUCCUAAGGUAGCGAAAUUCCUUGUCAGGUAAGUUCUGACCCGCACGAAAGGCGUAACGAUUUGGGCGCUGUCUCAACAAGAAACUCGGUGAAAUCAUAGUACCUGUGAAGAUGCAGGUUACCCGCGAUCAGACGGAAAGACCCCAUGGAGCUUCACUGCAACUUAAUAUUGAUAUUGGGUGUGUGAUGUACAGGAUAGGUGGGAGACAAAGAAGCGAGUACGCUAGUAUUCGUGGAGUCAACCUUGGGAUACCACCCCUCGCACAUUUAGUAUCUAACUAGUUUCCAUAAGCUGGGAAUAGAACAGUGUUAGGUGGGCAGUUUGACUGGGGCGGUCGCCUCCCAAAGAGUAACGGAGGCGCCCAAAGGUUCCCUCAGAAUGGUUGGAAAUCAUUCAUAGAGUGUAAAGGCAGAAGGGAGCUUGACUGCGAGACGGACAGGUCGAGCAGGAACGAAAGUUGGGCUUAGUGAACCGGCUGUGCUGAAUGGAAAGGCAGUCGAUCAACGGACAAAAGCUACCCUGGGG